Long non-coding RNA from Micropterus dolomieu (smallmouth bass), 488 nucleotides. RefSeq lists it as uncharacterized. The record is from RefSeq and is a predicted model, not a curated record. The transcript has 4 exons. Lineage: Eukaryota; Metazoa; Chordata; Actinopteri; Centrarchiformes; Centrarchidae.
GCCCAACCAGACAGAGACAGGAUAGCAGAGGAAUCAGAUGCUCACUCAGCGCUUGGCGAGCUCCUGGCUCCUGUAGGGUGGUGAUGGUGCAGUGGAUAAAAUGUGAGAGACCCAGGUUCAAUUCCCCACUUGACCCCUCCUUCCUCCAGAGUGACAUGUGGCCUGGUUUUGUGAGCAGUGACCUCCAGAGCCCAGUGGAUCAGAGAGCACUUGUUGGAGGAGACAGAGGUUUUCCCUCAGUCCUGUUACCCUAAUACAUAAUAAUUCCACAAGCCCCAUGUUUAAGAGAAGGUUGCAUCAUCUGCAUCUUCUGAAAGUCAUGGGAAGUCCAAAAAGCCACCACUUUCCUACUGUCUCUGGUUCAGUGAGAAACGUGAGCUCUACCUUGUCCUGCCAGCCAGUAUUGGAGACCGAUGAGAUAUUCUGGUGUUAAACUGCCCGUGGGAAGAAUGCACAUGUAAUGAUACAUUCUUGAUUAAAAACCAACA